RNAcentral lists this unclassified non-coding RNA (276 nucleotides) under plant metagenome. RNAcentral's name for it is "partial contains small subunit ribosomal RNA, internal transcribed spacer 1, and 5.8S ribosomal RNA". The record is from RNAcentral.
UUUCCGUAGGUGAACCUGCGGAAGGAUCAUUAACAAAUCCAUGUUGUUGUUGUUUUGAUUGUUUUUGUUGAUGUGCAUGCCAUGUUUGUUCGUUCUGUUCAAUGUGUGUGUACAUUAAUGAUGCAUUCAUUACUAGCACACAUUAGUUCCAUAUGUGUACAUAUUCGUUCAUUCGUUUUGUGUACACAUUGUGUGAUACAUUUCUACGAAUCGUCUGAUUUAUUUAUUUCAAAUCAUAUUAAACAAUAACUUUUAACAAUGGAUCUCUAGGCUCUU